AGAGUUUGAUCCUGGGCUCAGAAUCAACGCUGGCGGNGUGCCUAACACAUGCAAGUCGAACGCGAAAGUGGAGCAAUCCAUGAGUAGAGUGGCGAACGGGUGAGUAACACGUGGGUGACCUACCUUCGAAUGGGGGAUAACGUCCCGAAAGGGACGCUAAUACCGCAUAACAUCCUGCUUUUGAACAGGUGGAGAUCAAAGCCGGGGAUCGCAAGACCUGGCGUUUGAAGAGGGGCCCGCGUCUGAUUAGCUAGUUGGUGAGGUAACGGCCCACCAAGGCAACGAUCAGUAUCCGGCCUGAGAGGGCGGACGGACACACUGGGACUGAGACACGGCCCAGACUCCUACGGGAGGCAGCAGUGGGGAAUUGUUCGCAAUGGGCGCAAGCCUGACGACGCAACGCCGCGUGGAGGAUGAAGGUCUUCGGAUUGUAAACUCCUGUUGCCCGGGACGAAACAUUUCGACCUAACACGUCGAGACCUGACGGUACCGGGUGAGGAAGCCCCGGCUAACUCUGUGCCAGCAGCCGCGGUAAUACAGAGGGGGCAAGCGUUGUUCGGAAUUACUGGGCGUAAAGGGCGCGUAGGCGGCCUUCUAAGUCCGAACGUGAAAUCCCCNGGGCUCAACCCGGGAACUGCGUCCGAUACUGGAAGGCUUGAAUCCGGGGANANGGAUGCGGAAUUCCA
Molecule: ribosomal RNA, 686 nt
Filed under: uncultured bacterium
Lineage: Bacteria
Description: bacterial SSU rRNA
Rfam family: Bacterial small subunit ribosomal RNA
Source: RNAcentral